AAAGGUUUAGUUAAACUAAUAACGUUAGUUUGUCAAACUAAAAUUACUUAUAGGUAUCCUUUA
Molecule: transfer RNA, 63 nt
Filed under: Prosopocoilus astacoides blanchardi
Lineage: Eukaryota; Metazoa; Arthropoda; Insecta; Coleoptera; Lucanidae
Also listed under: 1 other name
Description: tRNA-Asp
Source: RNAcentral